This 362-nucleotide transfer-messenger RNA is filed under the name Pseudomonadota bacterium. It matches the Rfam family "transfer-messenger RNA". Rfam says of the family: Bacterial tmRNA, also known as 10Sa RNA or SsrA, is named for its dual tRNA and mRNA-like properties. Its role is to liberate the mRNA from a stalled ribosome. Lineage: Bacteria; Pseudomonadati; Pseudomonadota. The record is from RNAcentral.
GGGGGCGACUUGGCUUCGACGUGGGUAGCGAAGCCUAAGGCGCAUGCCGAGGAUACAGCUAGCCUCGUUAAACCUGCUGUAAAACUAUAGUUGCCAACGACGACAACUACGCACUGGCUGCUUAAAAAGUAAGCGAGUGCCCUUCGACUGAGCUGUGCUUGUGCAGCUCAAUUCGGGGGUCAUCUUACACAAGCUCGUGGUAGGGCUCGCCUGUGGCCAAGCCACUAAAACGUAAAUGCAGGCUCGCCGAUCAUCACCCUGCCCGUCGGACGAUGAUCGGUUAAGAGAAAGACGUGGCUAAGCAUGUAGUGCCAAAGGCAGAAGACUUGCGGACGCGGGUUCGAUUCCCGCCGCCUCCACCA